This is a non-coding RNA of Mycena belliarum, 92 nucleotides long. NCBI's taxonomy places the organism in Eukaryota, Fungi, Basidiomycota, Agaricomycetes, Agaricales, Mycenaceae. The record is from the annotation of a GenBank genome assembly.
UCCGACAUGGUGUAGCGGUAACAUAGGUGCCUUUCAAGGUCUCUAGUAUCAAGGAUUCGCACUUGCCCGGGGUUCGACUCCCCGUAUCGGAA